Molecule: ribosomal RNA, 329 nt
Filed under: uncultured eukaryote
Lineage: Eukaryota
Description: partial 18S ribosomal RNA
Rfam family: Eukaryotic small subunit ribosomal RNA
Source: RNAcentral
CCCUUAGAUGUUCUGGGCCGCACGCGCGCUACACUGACACGUUCAUCAAGUCUAUAACCUUGACCGAGAGGUCUGGGUAAUCUUUUAAAAACGUGUCGUGCUGGGGAUAGAUUAUUGCAAUUAUUAAUCUUCAACGAGGAAUUCCUAGUAAACGCAAGUCAUCAACUUGCAUUGAUUACGUCCCUGCCCUUUGUACACACCGCCCGUCGCUACUGCCGAUUGAAUGAUUUAGUGAGUACCAGGGACCGAGCGCUUUGGUUGGGUUUCCUUCCCUAGCGCUUGGGAACUGUCGCAAACUUGACCAUUUAGAGGAAGUAAAAGUCGUAACA